GCCGCUCGCCCUUCGGGCGUUUCCUCCCAAGACUGGGCCGCCGUUGUGACGGCCCUUUUUUUUGCCCGAA
Molecule: small RNA, 70 nt
Filed under: Prosthecodimorpha hirschii
Lineage: Bacteria; Pseudomonadati; Pseudomonadota; Alphaproteobacteria; Hyphomicrobiales; Ancalomicrobiaceae
Description: Prosthecomicrobium hirschii Makes More Granules Regulator RNA (mmgR)
Rfam family: Makes More Granules Regulator RNA (mmgR)
About the family: SuhB later renamed mmgR (makes more granules regulator) was a putative non-coding RNA found multiple times in the Agrobacterium tumefaciens genome and related alpha-proteobacteria. Other non-coding RNAs uncovered in the same analysis include: speF, ybhL, metA, and serC.
Source: Rfam by way of RNAcentral